AUGAUAAGAUUAGUCCUCAGGUCUAAACUCUAGUUUCCACACAUACAGUAAAGAAUCUUAGCAGUCAAGCUCUAUCUUCAUCUGCAGUUUCUGUCCUUUUCAAAGGACUUAAUUUUGCAUUCACCUCUACUAGCAUCUUUAGGGAAGAAAUUAUCAGCCAAAUUGAAACGGCUAUUUUUCACCUCUCCUGAAGAAAGCAACGACAUUAGAAGACGGACGGCCAAUAUCUUCCACAAGGCAAAACUCCCGAGCCAAAAUAUAAAAGAAGAACGCUUAGCACUCAGAAAUCUGAAACAAAACAAUAUUUUAAUUCUACCAGCAGACAAAGGGAACACCACGGUGGUUACGGAUAAGGAAGACUACUGUAAUAAAAUCAAGACCAUGCUCUCAGAUCACAAAGUUUAUAAAAAGCUUAAAUGCAACCCGACUUCCACUAUAGAGAAGAAAACGAUCUCUUUUCUUAGAAAUGAAGAUUUUCCUCCUCAAACUCUUAAAAAUUUAAUCCCCAAAGAAUCUUUGAUUCCUAGACUCUACGGUCUUUCUAAGAUUCAUAAAGAAUCAGUGCCAUUACGCUUCAUUGUUAACAACAUAGGUGGACCCACCUAUAAUUUAGUUCGCCAAAUCUUACCAAAUUUCUCCAAGAACUUACUGGACUCAAUAAUUCUAAUAUUAAGAAUUUAAUAUAUUUCGUAAAAAAAUCACUAAAAUCAAAAAAACUAAUCCUUGUUGUAAGCUUUGAUAUAGUCUUAUUUACAAAUGUUCAGGACACUUUUAACAUUAUCAGAAAAUCCGACAGAAUUUCUAUGAACCUCCUUCCAUUAAUAGAACACUGUUUAACAUCAACUUAUUUUCAGUUUUAAGGAGAAUUCUUUGAACAAACUUCUGGAGCAGCAAUGGGCUCUCCCAUCUUACCCAUCAUCGCAAAUAUCUUUAUGGAACAUUUUGAAAAUCAAUUGUAAAAAACGCACUUCUCAAAUCUAUAUGGUUCCGAUAUGUUAUGUACACUUUUGUGAUCUGGAGCCAUGGCAGAGCAUAUACUCUUCCUUAAUUUUUUGCCUUUCUCAACUCUCUGCAUCUUAACAUUCAGUUUACAAUGGAAAUAGAACAAAACAAAUCCUUUUUUUAAAUGUAUUGAUUAAAAGGAACGGAGAUGGUAGUUUAAGCCAUCAGGUCUAUCAAAAACCAAUAGCCACAGAUUGAUAUCUUUACGCCACCCCUCAUCAUUAUGCUUCGCAAAAGAAUUCAGUCAUUAGUUCACUGGUAUAUAGAGUCCUUACAAUUUCUGAACCACCUUUUUUGAAUGGGGAAUUAGAACAUCUUAAUCAUGUUUUAACAAAAUAUGGAUAUAGUAGUAGAAACAUCAGUUAAACAGUCCAAAGAUGGAAGAACAAAAUUUUUAGUCUUAACAACAUUGGGACGCCGAAUAAAGAAAAAGAAAGAGAAGAGAACAAGAUAGCUUUCUUUUUGUAUUUUCAAGUUACUUUUUAAUCCAAAGGAUCAGAGACCACGCUUAGAAUCACUAGGUGUAUACAAAAUUCCUGCUCUUACGGAAAAGUGUACAUAGGAGAAACUAGGAGGAAGAUUAGUACACGAAUCAAAGAACAUCAACGGUGUACCAAAUAUGGUCAUUUUUCUCAAUCAGCCUUAACCGAACACUGGAUGGAGACGGGACACUCCGUGCAAUACGAAAAAGCUACUAUGCUAGCGUUUUCUCAAGGUUACUUUGCUAGGAAACAUCGUGAAAGUCUAGAAAUUUUGAAACAUCUUGAUAAUUUUAACCGUAAUAAAGGUUAUCAGAUAAGCCCGAUUUGGCACACUGUCCUUCCGGUUUUAAUUGAUCAAUUAAAAACAUUUUCGAACACCACAUAUUAAUUAGCAAAUAAUAAGCCAAUAUUGUAUUAAGAUUGGCCAACAUUUGACCAAUGAAAUGUGUUACUAUUGGACGAAUAACUCCGUUUUCUCCCUUCACCCACAUCCCUACCAUCAGGACAAGGGGUAUAUAAAGACGGUUACAAUCUAAGACAGCUUAGUAUCGAAACUUCUAGCCCUGAUGAUGCAAACUGCAACGUUUGCGAAACGUCGGCGCAACGCUGUACCGGGACACGGCAUGUAUCCGGAAGCUCUUUCUAUUAGAAGCAACGUCAAUGGCCGUGAAAGCUUUAAGUCUAAAAUCUUUAAAGUCCUAAUAUUUUACCUUUUUAUUUCAUCCUUUUUUCCCACACUCAUUAUCUCCCUUUCUCACUUUCUAAUCUCUUUCCUUUUUUUUAAUGAAAUGAUAAAGAUAUUAUUAUAUGA
This 2295-nucleotide long non-coding RNA is filed under the name Monomorium pharaonis (pharaoh ant). RNAcentral describes it as "uncharacterized LOC114255408". The record is from RNAcentral. Lineage: Eukaryota; Metazoa; Arthropoda; Insecta; Hymenoptera; Formicidae.